GGACUACAGGGGUAUCUAAUCCUGUUUGCUACCCACGCUUUCGCGUCUCAGUGUCAGGAAUGGUCCAGAAGGCCGCCUUCGCCACCGGUAUUCCUCCUAAUAUCUACGAAUUUCACCUCUACACUAGGAAUUCCACCUUCCUCUGCCAUCCUCGAGCUAGAUAGUUUCGAAUGCACUUCCUCGGUUGAGCCGAGGGAUUUCACAUCCGACUUAUCUAGCCACCUACACGCUCUUUACGCCCAAUGAUUCCGAGCAACGCUUGCACCCUACGUAUUACCGCGGCUGCUGGCAC
RNAcentral lists this ribosomal RNA (292 nucleotides) under uncultured bacterium. RNAcentral's name for it is "partial 16S ribosomal RNA". The record is from RNAcentral.